GAUGAACGCUGGCGGCGUGCCUAAUACAUGCAAGUCGAGCGAACGGACGAGAAGCUUGCUCCUCUGAUGUUAGCGGCGGACGGGUGAGUAACACGUGGAUAACCUACCUAUAAGACUGGGAUAACUUCGGGAAACCGUAGCUAAUACCGGAUAAUAUUUUGAACCGCAUGGUUCAAAAGUGAAAGACGGUCUUGCUGUCACUUAUAGAUGGAUCCGCGCUGCAUUAGCUAGUUGGUAAGGUAACGGCUUACCAAGGCAACGAUGCAUAGCCGACCUGAGAGGGUGAUCGGCCACACUGGAACUGAGACACGGUCCAGACUCCUACGGGAGGCAGCAGUAGGGAAUCUUCCGCAAUGGGCGAAAGCCUGACGGAGCAACGCCGCGUGAGUGAUGAAGGUCUUCGGAUCGUAAAACUCUGUUAUUAGGGAAGAACAAAUGUGUAAGUAACUGUGCACAUCUUGACGGUACCUAAUCAGAAAGCCACGGCUAACUACGUG
This 497-nucleotide ribosomal RNA is filed under the name uncultured bacterium. RNAcentral describes it as "partial 16S ribosomal RNA". It matches the Rfam family "Bacterial small subunit ribosomal RNA", at positions 28 to 507 of the family's 1533-position model. The record is from RNAcentral.